UUCUCACUCCAACCUACCUGCCUGAGAAGAAGAUGGAAGGCGGCCGCUCACGGUGGCGCCGCCCCUCUACUUCGACGAACAAAACCAAAAUUCCAUCUUCUCCAUUAAAACACUCUCCUAAGUAUGAAUCCAGACUCAGAUCCCUCAUUACUUCAUCUCAAAUGCACGAAUCGGGGUCCCUAAACCGAACCCUAGAAUCGAAUAAUAAUAUCAGCCAAGCUAGCUCAGAGCGAUUAGGCCAAGGAUUCAGCAUAAAUCGACAAGGCGUGAGCGGUCUAAGAGGCGUAUCGAUCAAAACCCUAAAGUAAAACCCUAAAUUAGGUGGUGAUGGAGCGUUAUUUCAAACCCGGACGUUAGGGGUUUCAAUCAGCGUAAACAGGAGAAUACAAAAGUGCACUGGAUUAGUCAAGGCGUGAAGAAAUCUACCUGACCGGAGUUCGUUCGGUGACGUGCUUUUCGGCGACCAAAGAUAAGUUUACCUUCCCUCUCGUUUCUGCUUUGUUUCUCUUCGUUACUAGCUUCGCCUCAUCCACUUCUUU
This 539-nucleotide long non-coding RNA is filed under the name Lathyrus oleraceus (garden pea). RNAcentral's name for it is "Pisum sativum (pea) long non-coding RNA (PSAT_LNC003046)". The record is from RNAcentral. Lineage: Eukaryota; Viridiplantae; Streptophyta; Magnoliopsida; Fabales; Fabaceae.